RNAcentral lists this ribosomal RNA (253 nucleotides) under uncultured bacterium. RNAcentral describes it as "partial 16S ribosomal RNA". It matches the Rfam family "Bacterial small subunit ribosomal RNA", at positions 524 to 776 of the family's 1533-position model. The record is from RNAcentral.
GACGAACCGUGCAAACGUUAUUCGGAAUCACUGGGCUUAAAGGGCGCGUAGGCGGGCGGUCAAGUCAGGGGUGAAAUCUUUCGGCUCAACCGGAAAAGUGCCUUUGAUACUGGCCGUCUGGAGGGAGGUAGGGGCGUGCGGAACUUUGGGUGGAGCGGUGAAAUGCGUAGAUAUCCAAAGGAACACCGGUGGCGAAAGCGGCGCGCUGGACCUCUACUGACGCUGAGGCGCGAAAGCCAGGGGAGCAAACGGG